This 497-nucleotide ribosomal RNA is filed under the name uncultured bacterium. RNAcentral describes it as "partial 16S ribosomal RNA". It matches the Rfam family "Bacterial small subunit ribosomal RNA", at positions 28 to 507 of the family's 1533-position model. The record is from RNAcentral.
GACGAAUGCUGGCGGCGUGCCUAAUACAUGCAAGUUGAGCGAUGAAGAUUGGUGCUUGCACCAAUUUGAAGAGCAGCGAACGGGUGAGUAACGCGUGGGGAAUCUGCCUUUGAGCGGGGGACAACAUUUGGAAACGAAUGCUAAUACCGCAUAACAACUUUAAACAUAAGUUUUAAGUUUGAAAGAUGCAAUUGCAUCACUCAAAGAUGAUCCCGCGUUGUAUUAGCUAGUUGGUGAGGUAAAGGCUCACCAAGGCGAUGAUACAUAGCCGACCUGAGAGGGUGAUCGGCCACAUUGGGACUGAGACACGGCCCAAACUCCUACGGGAGGCAGCAGUAGGGAAUCUUCGGCAAUGGACGAAAGUCUGACCGAGCAACGCCGCGUGAGUGAAGAAGGUUUUCGGAUCGUAAAACUCUGUUGGUAGAGAAGAACGUUGGUGUGAGUGGAAAGCUCAUCAAGUGACGGUAACUACCCAGAAAGGGACGGCUAACUACGUG